UCCGUAGGUGAACCUGCGGAAGGAUCAUUACAGUAUUCUUUUUAAGCUGGAUUGAUACUGGUUUCAUCCAACUUGUGGUUUUUUUUACUGCGCUGCUGAAAUAUUGCGUGCGCGGUAGGUACCAUGGGUAGUUUGUUUGCCGGGUCUUUCUAUACCAAAAGCUUGAAAAACCUCCUACACACUUUGUUUUCUUAUUAGAGACAAAUUUGCUUUGGCUAGCUGUUGCGUAAAACCACAGUUUGGCCAAAGGUUUUAUAACAAACUCUUGUUUUUGUUUUUCAACUUGCUUGAAGAAUUAGAAACGUGUUUUAAUAAUACUAGUCAUAAUCAUGAAGACUUUGUAAAGAAGCUUUAACUAAAAUUUAAAACUUUCAACAACGGAUCUCUUGGUUCUCGCAUCGAUGAAGAACGCAGCGAAAUGCGAUAAGUAAUGUGAAUUGCAGAUUUUCGUGAAUCAUUGAAUCUUUGAACGCACAUUGCGCCCUCUGGUAUUCCGGAGGGCAUGCCUGUUUGAGCGUCAUUUCCUUCUCACACCCUGUAGGGUAUGGUGAUGGGUGAUACUUUGAGUAAUCAAAGUUCACUUGAAAUGUAUUGGCAUGAGUUUUUGUUUACUGAAAGCAGUUGUUUAUCAAUGUAUUAGGUUUAUUCCAUUGUUGAAUUAGCAACUGUAGGAAGUGACAAAAUUUUGGCUCUGCCUAACAAACUUUUUUAAUCAUAAAGUUUGACCUCAAAUCAGGUAGGACUACCCGCUGAACUUAAGCAUAUCAAUAAGCGGAGGAAAAGAAACCAACAGGGAUUGCCUUAGUAGCGGCGAGUGAAGCGGCAAGAGCUCAAAUUUGAAAUCUGGUACCUUUGGUGCCCGAGUUGUAAUUUGAAGAAAGCUAUCUUGGAUUUGGCCUUUGUCUAUGUUCCUUGGAACAGGACGUCACAGAGGGUGAGAAUCCCGUGCGAUGAGGUGUCCAUUUCUAUGUAAGAUGUUUUCGAAGAGUCGAGUUGUUUGGGAAUGCAGCUCUAAGUGGGUGGUAAAUUCCAUCUAAAGCUAAAUAUUGGCGAGAGACCGAUAGCGAACAAGUACAGUGAUGGAAAGAUGAAAAGAACUUUGAAAAGAGAGUGAAAAAGUACGUGAAAUUGUUGAAAGGGAAGGGUAUUAGAUCAGACUUGGUAUUUAGUUAUCAUUGCUCCUUGUGGGUGGUGCUCUAGCUUUUUACUGGGCCAGCAUCAGUUUUGGUGGCAAGAUAAUGACAUUUGAACGUGGCUCUUCGGAGUGUUAUAGCUUUUGUUGAUAUUGCCUACUGGGACUGAGGUCUGCGGCUUUGCCUAGGAUGCUGGCGUAAUGAUCCAAUACCGCCC
This 1350-nucleotide ribosomal RNA is filed under the name Ogataea cecidiorum. Its description in RNAcentral is "eukaryotic LSU rRNA". The stretch from base 723 to 1350 matches the Rfam family "Eukaryotic large subunit ribosomal RNA", at positions 1 to 650 of the family's 3401-position model. The record is from RNAcentral. Lineage: Eukaryota; Fungi; Ascomycota; Pichiomycetes; Pichiales; Pichiaceae.